AUCGUAUGACAUUUUGUCGACGAUGAUUCAUUCAAAUUUCUGCCCUAUCAACUUUCGAUGGUAAGGUAGUGGCUUACCAUGGUUGCAACGGGUAACGGAGAAUUAGGGUUCGAUUCCGGAGAGGGAGCCUGAGAAACGGCUACCACAUCUAAGGAAGGCAGCAGGCGCGCAAAUUACCCAAUCCUGAUACAGGGAGGUAGUGACAAAAAAUAACAAUACAGGGCUUUUUAAGUGUUGUAAUUGGAAUGAGUACAAUGUAAAAACCUUAACGAGGAACAAUUGGAGGGCAAGUCUGGUGCCAGCAGCCGCGGUAAUUCCAGCUCCAAUAGCGUAUAUUAAAGUUGUUGCAGUUAAAAAGCUCGUAGUUGGAUUUUGGGAUAAGCUUGUUGGGCCGCCG
RNAcentral lists this ribosomal RNA (397 nucleotides) under Sphaerothecum destruens. RNAcentral describes it as "SSU rRNA". It matches the Rfam family "Eukaryotic small subunit ribosomal RNA", at positions 268 to 665 of the family's 1831-position model. The record is from RNAcentral. Lineage: Eukaryota; Ichthyosporea; Dermocystida.